AGGAUGAACGCUGGCGGCGUGCUUAAUACAUGCAAGUCGAACGGAUACCGCAAGGUAUUAGUGGCGACCGGGUGCGUAACACGUAGCUGACCUGCCCCUCAGCGGGGGACAACAGUUCGAAAGGACUGCUAAUACCGCAUGAUUUCGGUGAUUUUAGAAAGCAUCGAAUAAACUUACGGGGCUGAGGGAGGGAGCUGCGGCCCAUCAGGUAGUUGGUGAGGUAAUGGCUCACCAAGCCGACGACGGGUAGGGGGCCUGAGAGGGUGGUCUCCCACACUGGAACUGACAAACGGUCCAGACUCCUACGGGAGGCAGCAGUAAGGGAUAUUGCGCAAUGGGCGAAAGCCUGACGCAGCAACGCCGCGUGGAGGAAGAAGGCCUUCGGGUCGUAAACUCCUUUUGUGAGGGACGAGGAAGGACGGUACCUCACGAAUAAGUCACGGCUAACUACGCGCCAGCAGCCGC
RNAcentral lists this ribosomal RNA (465 nucleotides) under uncultured bacterium. RNAcentral describes it as "partial small subunit ribosomal RNA". It matches the Rfam family "Bacterial small subunit ribosomal RNA", at positions 26 to 518 of the family's 1533-position model. The record is from RNAcentral.